UGUCGGUGAUGUUAUUGUAAAAUGCAGUGAAAAAGUUCUUCUGACUGCUCCAGAGUUUGGUUCAAUGUUAUUGGAUGCUGCGGUGGCCCAUGUUGAAUCCUUUGGAGGUUGUGAUGGAGACAUGAAAAUUGAGGUUGUGAUAAAGCGACGAAGAGAUGGCAGCACACUAUCAAAAACUAUGGUUGUGGAGAUGCUGAAAGAGAACAAUUAUAACAGGCAUUUUGUUUCUUUUCUUUUCUUUUAUAAAAAUAUUGAUGCCAUGUGUUACAGCUUUGUUUGUACCACCGUCAUCACAUCUUGUUUUGUUUUCCAUUCAGGUGGCCUGCGCCGAUGCCAAGCUACACGAUGCGCGUUAUAAAUGUCACACCGCGUGGCAUAGGCGGCUACUAGCAACACCCCCCCCCUCCCUCUCUGCUAUCUUUUUUGUUUGCAUGGUACUUCACUGUGUCGGACUACACAUCUUUUUGAUGAUCUACAUGGCUUGUAUUUUUGUUGAGAAACCAUGACUUGUAAUUCGCUGUGGAUCUCGUGUUAAUCCAUGUUAACAA
Molecule: long non-coding RNA, 548 nt
Organism: Triticum aestivum (bread wheat)
Lineage: Eukaryota; Viridiplantae; Streptophyta; Magnoliopsida; Poales; Poaceae
Exons: 3
Source: RefSeq, a predicted model, not a curated record